Hemicordylus capensis (graceful crag lizard) is the source of this 1030-nucleotide long non-coding RNA. RefSeq lists it as uncharacterized. Lineage: Eukaryota; Metazoa; Chordata; Lepidosauria; Squamata; Cordylidae. The transcript is spliced from 7 exons. The record is from RefSeq and is a predicted model, not a curated record.
UUAGGUCCAGGCUCCAAAAUUACCUUAGCGCACCUCUGGCUGGAACUUUCUCAAGAUCUCGGAACGAGAUCUCAUUUCAGGCCAAGCUCUCACGAGAUUUGCGAGAAUUGUUCUGGGUUAUUUAAAGCUGGACUGGCUGAUGAUUACGGUCCAGUUACUAAGGAGGGCCUAUGCUGAUCUUCAAAAAUAACCAUGGGACAUGUCACGGACAUUGCCUAGAAUGUAGUUAUUCUCUGGAGCCUGCUGUCAUCUGAUGUUCCAAAGCUGUUUACUCCAGAGCUUAUGAAAGCUUGAUUCCUCAGUCACAAACACAAGCUGCAUGGAUCACCACUGGGACAAAUUUCUAAACAACGGAACAUAAAAGAUACUGGAUAGAAUACAACGUUAAAGGAAGAAAACUGAAGCUGAGACAAAGGCCAGCUCAGCGGAGGAGAGCUUUGAAUCCAGGUUCCACAAUGAAUUGCGCUCCACUCUCUAUUUAAAAGAACAAAGGCACAGGUUUCUUAAGCAAUUUUCAUGGAAAUCCAACAUGGAUUAAAAUUCAGAGAACUGAAAAAACAUAGCUUGUUCAUUUCUUCAUCAUUAUGUGAAUGUCCAGACUUUCUGUCUCUAAAAAUACCCGAGAAAACUGCCAAAGUUUGUCAGAAGGCUGGAUGAAAUCUGGAACCUACCUGUGAAAAUGGCACAUUUCUAUUCCCAGUGGAGGAAGAGCCAUGGAGACUCUGCAUGUUUGGGUGGGCUCUUCACACAAACAGAGCCAGUGCACACACCCAGCAGAUGGAAGAGCAGGGGCCUUCACAGUAUCGAGACCACUUGUCUGUGUGCAUGUCCAUAUGUGUAUAAAAUCAGACGUAUUCUGAUUUUACCCAAAUUGGAGGGGUUCAGAGAGAGUCCAAACCCAAAAUUGCACAGUCAAGUUUAAAUUUGACUUUUCUGACACCAUUUUUUUAAAAGGAGCUUUUCAGAGUUCCAAAUAUUGACGAGAGUCUGUUCUUUGUCUUUCUUUCCUUCUUUUUUGAAGAGAUUGUGG